UGAUUUCAGUGACUCAGUUUGAGGAUUUUUAUGAUUUUUUUACCCACAAUCAGAGACUUGACCACAAUCUGAGCUGAGUCAGAAACAUCCAAACAGUCGGACUAAUAAAUGUGAUUAUUAUUAUUAGAGUGAUUGAAAAGCUCAUAACAACAUGUAGAUCUGUCCAAAGUCUGAUUCUAGAUGUCUUUACAAACACACUGAUCCAACAGAAGCAGACAGAAAUAUCCAUCGAUCACAUGAACACAAAUAUUCAGCAAACAGAGAAAGAAACAGAUCAUCUGAAGAGUUUUUGGGGACGACUGGAAAGACUUUAGACGCUUGGAUUUGGGACAGGAAAUAAGGUCGUCCUUUUUCUGUGAUUUUGACCUCACUUUUUUCUAAAGUCUCAGACCUUCAACAUCUGCACCAACUGAAGGUGAUUUGAACAAACCAUCAUCUUGAUGUUGUUGAUAUCAAACUUGAUGAAGAUUUUUCAACAUGAGAAAUACAAACAAUCAAAGUUCUCCACAAUCACUGUCCUUAAAGCUGCGACCAAAUCAGCAUCUUUAGAAAAGAAUCAAAAAGCUGAAAUGAAGAACUAAACCCAGAGUUUUUGGUGAGACUGAUCCACAAACAUUUACAAACCAGAACAUUUCAAGAGUUCAAGGAUCUCAGUCCAUGAUUUUGGUCUGAUGGACUCAAAAUUCUCUUUAUUUCAGUUUAAUAAACCUAGCAGAGUCUCCAUCAGACCAGUAAAACCUCAGUCCAGCAUGUAGAGGUUCAGUGAAUGUGGUCUGGACUCUGUGGAGGAGAGUCAUGGUUUCAGAGGCGCUGUAGAAGGACAGAAUACCUGCGCUGUGAUCCAGGUACACUCUUACUCUGGAGGACUGAGGACCAAAGACACGAGUGCGAACACUGUUGUGAAUAAAUUCAUACCUGUCUUUAUAACAGUCUAACCUCCAAGAUUUGUCAUUUUCUCCAAAUCCACAAUCAUCUGAUUCUCCGUCUCUGCUGAUAGUCUUGUAUGCGACUGCUACACCAACCCUGACCCCGCUCCGCUCCACCUCCCAGUAACAACGUCCAGUCAGACUCUCUCUACUCAGGACCUGUUCAUAAUCAGUGAAUCUGUCUGGAUGAUCAGGAUAAGACUGUAGUUGUUCUUUAAAUGUUGCUCUUCUGUUUUCCUCAGAUAAAUACAAAUAUCUGUUUACUGUGUUUGGAUCCAGUGUGAUUUUUUGGUAAUAUCUUGAGAAACCAGCUCUGGUCUUGGGUUCUGCUGGUCCUGGUGGUUCUGACAGUAAAACAUCCACUUGAGUCACAGCCUGUGAGACGUUUGUCCACGUCUCUGUCAGAAGAUCCUGGAGUUUCUCUCUGACCUCUGACACAGCUGCUGUCACCUCCUCAAAGUAUCUCAGAGGACGGAUGUUGAUUCUGGAUGAGUCUGCAGGUUGACCCGGUUCUGACAGUGAGGAGUAGCUGUGCAGAAACUGGUUGUGGUCCUCUGUGAGUGAGAGCUUCUGCAGAUCAGCGUCUUUCCUCUUCAGCUCAGUGAUCUCCUGCUCCAGUUUCUCCUGAAGCUCUUUGACUCGACUCACUUCACGUUCCUGCUGGAAUCUGACCUGCUGCUCCACCUCAGAGCGGCGUUUCUCCAUCAGACGGAUCAGCUGGCUGAAGAUCUCCUGGCUGUGCUCCACAGCUUUAUCAGCAGAGCCGUUGAUAGCCUCCACCUCCUGUUGGAGCAGCUUCACGUCUUCUUCUCUGUCCUGGAUUCUCUGCUGGAUGUUUUCUCGACUCUCCUCCAGAUCUUUCUGCCUCUCAGUCCUUUCUGCUGCAGCUAAGACUGUGUCGUGACCUUUGUGUUGGUCCAAACAGCAGAGAGAACAGAUGGACUUCAGAUCAGUGCGGCAGAAGAUCUUCAUCACCUUAUCAUGAAGAGAGCAGAUGUUCUCCUGGAGCUUCUUGGAGGGCUCCACCAGCUUGUGUUUCUUAAAUGUAGGAGAUUCAAAAUGAGGCUGGAGGUGAAUCUGACAGUAAGAAACCUGACAUUGAAGACAGGACUUGACAGCUUUCAGUUUUCUCCCACUGCAGACGUCACAGGCCACAUCUUCAGGUCCAGCCUCAGAGGAACCAUCAGGAGCAGCUUGGAGUCCACUCUUCUUCACUUCCUCCACUAAACCUGCUAACAUGAUGUUUUUUAUUGGGACAGGCCUCGUUGUGAAGGUCUCUCUACACUGAGGACAGCUGUAGAUCUUCUUCUCAUCCUCAGUAUCCCAGUAGGAUUGAAUACAGCUCAUGCAGAGGCUGUGUCCACAGGAAACAGUCACCGGAUCCUUCAGAAGAUCCAAACAGAUGGAACAAGAGAAAGACUCACGGUUCAGAUGAACUCCUUUCUGCGCCAUUUCAACACUCACUGUCGACGACGACUGACUGAGUUUCAUUUCCUGAGAAGUCAAACUAGUCCGAGCUCUGAUCUCAACAACAUGUGUGAGUCAGCAGGAUCAAGUCAGCACACGGAGGUUACACCCAACCAAGACUGUAGAUCUGAGGGGGAGGGAGCAAGGUAGGGAAGGGAACAAGGAAGUGAGAGUGCAGAGUGGAGUGAGCUGUGAGAGACGAGGGGGGGGAGACAGUUUUUCUACAAUCCAGGAGGAGGCGUGUCUCUGUGAACUUUAGACUCUCAAACUCCAACAAGCAGAAGUUCUUAAAGCUGCAGCCGUCCUGAAGAUCAACUGAACCAACAUUUAUUCACCUCAUAGAAACCUCAUCGAGCAGAAACACACUUCAACUGUUUUAGAGCCUCACAGAGUUAAAGAUACAACACAGAGAAACACUCCCUCUCUCUCUCUCUCCCUCUCUCUCUCUCUCUGUCUCUCUUGCGCAAUUGAACGUGAAUCACCAAGGUUGUGCAAGCUCAGCUGUACUCCUCACUCUCUAUACUGACAGCUGUCGUACUGAGGAAUGUGUGUCUGAACGUCGUCCUGCCAGACAAGACCAGUACGCUCUAAAGUACUCAGAUGAUACAGUUUUAAUUUCCCUGUGAGAAAGUUCCAGUGAUCCUGAACUUACACAGAGUAAACAGGGUGGUUGAAUGGAGUGAUAACAAUGCUCUCGUCAUUAACACAAAAAAGACAGAAGAGAUUGUUUUUGGUACACCACCAGUGACACACAGAUCUCCCGUUACUAUUCAGGGUGAACAGAUCAACCAGGUAUGUUGGUAUCAAUAUCUAGGUAGUAGUCUUUGACCAUCUCUUGUCAUGGAAAGACCAGAUUGAAUCAGUGUGUAAGAAAACAAAGCGGAGAAUCUACUUCCUUCGCCGUUUAAGAUCUUUUGGUGCAAGUAGACAGAUCCUUCUUUUGUUUUUGACUUCUGUUAUUAUGAGUGUUCUUCAGUACUGUAGGACCACAUGGUAUGGAUGUUUGUCUGCAGCCCUAAAAGCACAACUGCUGCAACAACUGAACAUUUGCUCAAAGAUUGUUGGACAACCACUUCAUAGGCGAUAUACAUCUAUGUAUGACAGACAGCAGUGUCCUGAGGUUAGUAAGAAAUAUUACCUCAAACACGAGCCAUAUGUUGUCUGGAGAAUAUAGGCUGCUGCCCUCAGGAAGGAGAUAUGGCGUUCCAGCAAACAAUGAGGUCAGACUAAAAAGGUCCUUUGUCCAUCAGUCGACCUUAAGGCUUAAUCAGGAGUUUGGCCAGGGGCAAGAAGGGUGGACAUCAUAUCAUAUCAUAUCGAUCCACGGGUUCUUGUGAGUUCUCGGGAUUCCUGCUGUUCGUAAUCCUCCACGAAAUUCGCCUCACAAACGGAUCCGGUAGGAAUUGGCAAACAAAAAACCGCCACUGUUCAAGAUGCGGUGAAAAUCCCGGGUUGGAGGAUCUGGAGAAAUCUCUGUACUAAAGGGGGGCAAAGACCAGAACCAAGACUGGAUGGUCCUGAUCUUCAGGGCAUUAAAAACAGACAGGACUCUGGAGUGGAAAUCACCGUAUGGAGUCUCAACUAAGUCCAGUUGUCCUUUCAGCGAAGAGCUGGAGAUCAUAGAUGCUGCAUCCUCAGUUUUAAAGACUAGAGUCCACCAGACUUGGUCUGGGAUCAUCAGAGUCCAUGUCAUGGGUAUCUUCCACAUCUGUGAAGGUUACGUUGAUGCUGAACAAGAUCUACAGGUUUAGGAGCAACAUCUGCGUCCAUCCAGACACAGACUUUCACUGUCAGACUCCAGAACCUGGUCUGCUGGGUUCACUAAGGUCUACAGAACCUGGUAAAAUGAGUCAACACAAGUUUCAACUUUUGAUUUGUUGUCUCUCCUCUGUUUUCCAAACUCUGAAUGGAGGAAGUGAAGGGGAACCAAAUGGAAGUGACGUCCUGUCCUCCUCCUUCUCCUCUCCAUACUGUUGUCACACAAACCCCUCCCCUCUGUGCUCCAUGAUAACUCCUCCCCUGAACCUGUAUCGCCCUCCCCACGACACACCCCCUCUGGCAGAAGAUCCUACGCUAGUUUCAAAUAGGAUUCACCGUGUUGGCCAGCUCUGCUAGCAAGCGCCAUCUGCAGCUUUCCCCAUCUGUAAAUGCAAUUCGGGGAGGAUAACAUGGGUUCGAUCAUGUGACUUCACAGCUGUGUAGAAAGUAACACCCACGGGCUCUGUCGCACUUCAUCUCCGUGGAAAAGAAGGGUUUCGAGCAGAGGCGUUUCAUAACCGCUAAGCCGUGUAAAAAGUAGCACCCAGAUUUGAAGCAGAGGCUGAAGUUCGGGUUUUUGGCGACUUCCUAAACCCCGGACCAUCACUCAGGUUAUAUCUCAUCACUCUGAACAUCAGGAGAGCAGCGUUGGACGUGUCUGACGGUGACGUACCGAACCAUGAACUCACACCGACACGUCAGGCCUCCGUCGCUCACAGCCCGCUCUCUUUCAUUUACAAGCAUCCAUGUAUUUGAGACCUUUUGUCCUUUCUCUUUCUUUCCCCCCUCGGAGCGAUCCAAUCGCCCGGU
This is a non-coding RNA of Xyrichtys novacula (pearly razorfish), 4961 nucleotides long. Lineage: Eukaryota; Metazoa; Chordata; Actinopteri; Labriformes; Labridae. The record is from the annotation of a GenBank genome assembly.